RNAcentral lists this ribosomal RNA (251 nucleotides) under uncultured prokaryote. Its description in RNAcentral is "partial 16S rRNA". It matches the Rfam family "Bacterial small subunit ribosomal RNA", at positions 525 to 775 of the family's 1533-position model. The record is from RNAcentral.
ACGUAGGGUGCAAGCGUUAUUCGGAAUUAUUGGGCGUAAAGCGCAUGUAGGCGGUUUGGUAAGUCUGUUGUGAAAGCCCUGGACUCAAUUCAGGAAGUGCAUCGGAUACUGCCAGACUAGAGUGUAGGAGGGGUGAGCGGAAUUCCUGGUGUAGAGGUGAAAGUCGUAGAUAUCAGGAGGAACAACAGCGGCGAAGGCGGCUCACUGGACUAUUACUGACGCUCAGAUGCGAAAGCGUGGGGAGCAAACAG